AAAUUGAAGAGUUUGAUCAUGGCUCAGAUUGAACGCUGGCGGCAGGCCUAACACAUGCAAGUCGAACGGUAACAGGAAGCAGCUUGUUGCUUCGCUGACGAGUGGCGGACGGGUGAGUAAUGUCUGGGAAACUGCCUGAUGGAGGGGGAUAACUACUGGAAACGGUAGCUAAUACCGCAUAA
RNAcentral lists this ribosomal RNA (182 nucleotides) under Shigella sonnei. Its description in RNAcentral is "partial 16S ribosomal RNA". It matches the Rfam family "Bacterial small subunit ribosomal RNA", at positions 1 to 176 of the family's 1533-position model. The record is from RNAcentral. Lineage: Bacteria; Pseudomonadati; Pseudomonadota; Gammaproteobacteria; Enterobacterales; Enterobacteriaceae.